This 459-nucleotide ribosomal RNA is filed under the name uncultured bacterium. RNAcentral's name for it is "partial 16S ribosomal RNA". It matches the Rfam family "Bacterial small subunit ribosomal RNA", at positions 338 to 795 of the family's 1533-position model. The record is from RNAcentral.
CCUACGGGGGGCAGCAGUGAGGAAUAUUGGUCAAUGGGCGCGAGCCUGAACCAGCCAAGUCGCGUGAGGGAAGACGGUCCUAUGGAUUGUAAACCUCUUUUGUCGGGGAGCAAAAGACGCCACGCGUGGCGUUCCGAGAGUACCCGAAGAAAAAGCAUCGGCUAACUCCGUGCCAGCAGCCGCGGUAAUACGGAGGAUGCGAGCGUUAUCCGGAUUUAUUGGGUUUAAAGGGUGCGCAGGCGGAGGUGCAAGUCAGCGGUAAAAUUGCGGGGCUCAACCCCGUACUGCCGUUGAAACUGAAGCCCUUGAGUGCGCGAGAAGUAUGCGGAAUGCGUGGUGUAGCGGUGAAAUGCAUAGAUAUCACGCAGAACUCCGAUUGCGAAGGCAGCAUACCGGCGCGCAACUGACGCUCAUGCACGAAAGCGUGGGUAUCGAACAGGAUUAGAUACCCGUGUAGUC